UCCCUGCAACGCUUUUAUAGUCGAUACC
This 28-nucleotide small RNA is filed under the name Bombyx mori (domestic silkworm). RNAcentral's name for it is "ovarian small RNA-27404". The record is from RNAcentral. Lineage: Eukaryota; Metazoa; Arthropoda; Insecta; Lepidoptera; Bombycidae.